This is an RNA transcript of Phoenix dactylifera (date palm), 2412 nucleotides long. It is a transcript of the gene named TRICHOME BIREFRINGENCE-LIKE 7, with no coding region annotated. The record is from RefSeq and is a predicted model, not a curated record. NCBI's taxonomy places the organism in Eukaryota, Viridiplantae, Streptophyta, Magnoliopsida, Arecales, Arecaceae.
CCCCUGGCCGGGGGCUAUUCAACCUCCAACCCCCCAAACCCAACCACCCUCCUCUUCUCCAGAGCGAGUCCUCUUCGUUCCUCCGCCGCUCCAUCCAAACGAAGCCGCGAAAGAGAGAGAGAGAGAGUGAGAUUUCUAGCUAGGGUUAGGGUUUCUCGACACCAGAAAGUGAUAAGAGAGAAAGAGAGAGGGGGAGGGAGGGAGGAAGGUGAAUCCGGUUAGAUUUCUAUCUCUUGCUACUCUCGAUCCUUUUUCGGGUAGAAAAUUGUCUUAAAUUUGUAGAAAUUGGUCUGUUUCUAUUCAAGUUGGUCUUCUGGUCUGCGAAACAUCGAGUUGGAGGAUUCACGGUCGGAAAGUUCAGAUUUUUGUUUGUCGUUGAGAUCAGAUUUCGAUCAAAAGUUGGAUUUCGGUUGCUGUUUUGUGGAUCUUGGAUGGAAAUGAGAGAUAUUUCAGUUCUUGAACGUGGUCUUGAUGACAGGUUGAAAGAAAUAUGAUAUUUGAGGUGGAGGACUGGAAUGGUUCUUUGGACGGGGAGGUUCUUUGAUUUCUUGGAGAUGGCGACUCAUAGUCUUACUCGGAGCGCGUCGGCUCGUAUCACGCCUAGGAGUCUGAGCAGCCCUAGGGUUUCAUUUCAUCGGAAAUGGUGGGCUCCCGGCCUGUCCUUGAAUGCCCUUGCUGUGACCUUCCUUCUGGCGUCCCUUGUGCUAGUUCUGGGAUGUGUUAUUUAUCUUUAUGUCUUUCGGUUCUUAGGCCGUGGAUUUUUAGUCUCAGGAUUUGUUGGCCCGACAGAAGGCUGCGAUGUCUUCGAUGGUAGCUGGGUCCAGGAUGAUACAUACCCACUCUACAAUAGCUCGGAGUGUCCAUUUGCUGAGAGGGGGUUCAAUUGCUUGGCAAAUGGGAGAAAAGAUACGGAUUAUCUGAAGUGGAGGUGGAAGCCUAGGCAUUGUGAGAUGCCUAAGAUUAAUGUGCGCGAGGUUUUGGAAAGUCUAAGAGGGAAACGGGUUGUCUUUGUGGGUGACUCAAUGAGUCGCACGCAGUGGGAGUCUCUCAUAUGUAUGCUCAUGACCGGGGUGGAGGAUCCCAAGACUGUUUAUGAAGUCAAUGGAAACCAGAUCUCGAAGACGAUUCGUUUCUUGGGUGUUCGGUUCGAAACUUUCAAUCUAAGUGUGGAGUUCUUCCGAUCGGUGUUCCUCGUGCAGCAGGGAUCACCACCUAAGCAUGGGCCGAAAAGGGUUCGUAUGACACUGAAGCUUGACAAGAUGGAUGACGUAAAUUGGAAAUGGGUUGAUUCAGAUGUUCUGAUUUUCAAUUCUGGUCAUUGGUGGACGCCAAGUAAACUCUUUGACAUGGGUUGUUAUUUCCAAGCUGGAGGACUACUGAAGCUUGGAAUGUCCAUAAAUUCUGCUUUUAAAAUGGCCUUGGAGACCUGGGCAUUAUGGGUUGAAACAAUGGUCAACACAAACAGAACUCAUGUAUUCUUCCGUACUUAUGAGCCUUCUCAUUGGAGAUCUGAGGAGGAUGCAUUUGGCACUACCUUCAGCCCAAAGAAGCAUCUGGACCAACCAUCUGAGUGAUGAGAACCUUAAAACAUGCAACUGGGAGGUUAAAAGAGCUUAUUAGGGAUGGAUCCUACUGCAAGGAGAUUCUGAGGAGCAUAUGACAGCUGUCCCAUACUUUCAACAGUUGCAAUUAGGAGAUUUGAUGAGUCUGUCUGGUUCUCCAGGACAGCAGAUUAGUGGAUCAAACCAAAAGGCCUGUGAAGUAACCCAACAACCUCUGACUGAGGCCAAAGGAAAUGACAGGAGUGAGUUUGCCGAGAUAAUUGCUGAGGUGGUCACGAAGAUGAGGGUUCCUGUAACCGUCCUUAAUGUGACUUCGAUGGGGGCAUUUCGGAGUGAUGCCCAUAUUGGCACUUGGAGCCACCCUUCCACCAUUCUCGAUUGCAGCCAUUGGUGUCUUCCUGGGGUCCCUGAUGCUUGGAAUGAACUUGUGUUCUCUUAUCUUCUGACAAAUGGAUGGAGAAAGUUGGGAAGAUAAUUGGGUCCUGGUGGUCUUUUUUCAUUUAUAAUUUUUUUACUAUUUUUUGUAUUCCACCUGGCAGCUGCAGAGGAUGAACAGGGUUUUGUCUGUAAAUGAAGCAGCGUGCUAGUGGGAAUCCUUCAGUUGCAUUCUUUUUUUUUUCUUCGCGGAUUUCUUUUGUUCCCAAUGAGUUCUUGUAUUAACUCCAAGAUGUAACUUUUUGUAGCUUUUAUAUUUCAUUUUCUCCCAAAUGUAAAAGGAAAUCUUGAUAUCGAUCAAGAUGUAUGUAACAGUGGUAAUGAUGACGGUUUCAUAGAUGUCCACUCCAAUUUUAUUUAUGUAUACAAAUCCUUUUACGAACCAUUAGAUUGUGGUCCUAAAGGAAUGCUUCAA